UACGAAGGGGGCUAGCGUUGUUCGGAAUCACUGGGCGUAAAGCGCACGUAGGCGGAUCUUUAAGUCAGGGGUGAAAUCCCGAGGCUCAACCUCGGAACUGCCUUUGAUACUGGGGAUCUCGAGUCCGGGAGAGGUGAGUGGAACUGCGAGUGUAGAGGUGAAAUUCGUAGAUAUUCGCAAGAACACCAGUGGCGAAAGCGGCUCUCUGGCCCGGUUCUGACGCUGAGACGCGAAAGCGUGGGGAGCAAACAGG
This 253-nucleotide ribosomal RNA is filed under the name uncultured bacterium. Its description in RNAcentral is "partial 16S ribosomal RNA". It matches the Rfam family "Bacterial small subunit ribosomal RNA", at positions 524 to 776 of the family's 1533-position model. The record is from RNAcentral.